RNAcentral lists this ribosomal RNA (496 nucleotides) under uncultured bacterium. Its description in RNAcentral is "partial 16S ribosomal RNA". It matches the Rfam family "Bacterial small subunit ribosomal RNA", at positions 29 to 507 of the family's 1533-position model. The record is from RNAcentral.
AUGAACGCUGGCGGCGUGCCUAAUACAUGCAAGUCGAGCGAACAGAUGAGGAGCUUGCUCCCCUGACGUUAGCGGCGGACGGGUGAGUAACACGUGGAUAACCUACCUAUAAGACUGGGAUAACUUCGGGAAACCGGAGCUAAUACCGGAUAAUAUAUUGAACCGCAUGGUUCAAUAGUGAAAGACGGUUUUGCUGUCACUUAUAGAUGGAUCCGCGCCGCAUUAGCUAGUUGGUAAGGUAACGGCUUACCAAGGCAACGAUGCGUAGCCGACCUGAGAGGGUGAUCGGCCACACUGGAACUGAGACACGGUCCAGACUCCUACGGGAGGCAGCAGUAGGGAAUCUUCCGCAAUGGGCGAAAGCCUGACGGAGCAACGCCGCGUGAGUGAUGAAGGUCUUCGGAUCGUAAAACUCUGUUAUUAGGGAAGAACAAAUGUGUAAGUAACUAUGCACGUCUUGACGGUACCUAAUCAGAAAGCCACGGCUAACUACGUG